AUUGAACGCUGGCGGCAGGCCUAACACAUGCAAGUCGAACGGUAACAGGAAGCAGCUUGCUGCUUCGCUGACGAGUGGCGGACGGGUGAGUAAUGUCUGGGAAGCUGCCUGAUGGAGGGGGAUAACUACUGGAAACGGUAGCUAAUACCGCAUAAUGUCGCAAGACCAAAGAGGGGGACCUUCGGGCCUCUUGCCAUCGGAUGUGCCCAGAUGGGAUUAGCUUGUUGGUGGGGUAACGGCUCACCAAGGCGACGAUCCCUAGCUGGUCUGAGAGGAUGACCAGCCACACUGGAACUGAGACACGGUCCAGACUCCUACGGGAGGCAUCAGUGGGGAAUAUUGCACAAUGGGCGCAAGCCUGAUGCAGCCAUGCCGCGUGUAUGAAGAAGGCCUUCGGGUUGUAAAGUACUUUCAGCGGGGAGGAAGGGAGUAAAGUUAAUACCUUUGCUCAUUGACGUUACCCGCAGAAGAAGCACCGGCUAACUCCGCG
RNAcentral lists this ribosomal RNA (490 nucleotides) under uncultured bacterium. RNAcentral's name for it is "partial 16S ribosomal RNA". It matches the Rfam family "Bacterial small subunit ribosomal RNA", at positions 30 to 507 of the family's 1533-position model. The record is from RNAcentral.